Molecule: long non-coding RNA, 469 nt
Organism: Oncorhynchus tshawytscha (Chinook salmon)
Lineage: Eukaryota; Metazoa; Chordata; Actinopteri; Salmoniformes; Salmonidae
Source: Ensembl
GUUAUACAUCAUGGGGCUUUUAAAGGUUAUUCAUAAUAGGGCUUUUAGAGGUUAUACAUCAUGGGGCUUUUAAAGGUUAUUCAUAAUGGGGCUUUUAAAGGUUAUUUAUCAUGGGGCUUUUAAAGGUUAUUCAUAAUGGGGCUUUUAAAGGUUAUUCAUAAUGGGGCUUUUAAAGGUUAUACAUCAUGGGGCUUUUAAAGGUUAUUUAUCAUGGGGCUUUUAAAGGUUAUUUAUCAUGGGGCUUUUAAAUGUUAUUUAUCAUGGGGCUUUUAAAGGUUAUUUAUCAUGGGGCUUUUAAAGGUUAUACAUAAUGGGGCUUUUAAAGGUUAUUUAUCAUGGGGCUUUUAAAGGUUAUUUAUCAUGGGGCUUUUAAAGGUUAUUUAUCAUGGGGCUUUUAAAGGUUAUACAUAAUGGGGCUUUUAAAGGUUAUUUAUCAUGGGGCUUUUAAAGGUUAUUUAUCAUGGGGCUU